UACGGAGGGUGCGAGCGUUGUCCGGAAUCACUGGGCGUAAAGGGCGCGUAGGCGGCUUGGGAAGUCCGUGGUGAAAGCUCGUGGCUCAACUACGAGUCGGCCAAGGAUACUCCUGAGCUCGAGUCGACUAGAGGCUAAUGGAAUUCCGGGUGUAGCGGUGGAAUGCGUAGAGAUCCGGAAGAACACCGGUGGCGAAGGCGGUUAGCUGGGGUCGAACUGACGCUGAGGCGCGACAGCGUGGGGAGCAAACAGG
Molecule: ribosomal RNA, 253 nt
Filed under: uncultured bacterium
Lineage: Bacteria
Description: partial 16S ribosomal RNA
Rfam family: Bacterial small subunit ribosomal RNA
Source: RNAcentral